RNAcentral lists this long non-coding RNA (304 nucleotides) under Bos taurus (domestic cattle). RNAcentral describes it as "long non-coding RNA NONBTAT004175". The record is from RNAcentral. Lineage: Eukaryota; Metazoa; Chordata; Mammalia; Artiodactyla; Bovidae.
AGAAAGGCUUCCUUGCAUUCCCGACAGAGGCCCAUCAUCACCUGUCUGAACUCUUGAAGUACUCAGAGCUCAGCUUUAAACUGCACUAUGUCAUGUGGAGAUGAUCAGGUCAUGAGGUGGAGACUUUGAAUUUCAGGAGUGGGACCUCUGAAGUUUUUUCCAUCCACAGGUUGAGAAAUCAGUCAUGAGCUGAACAGGUGGAGCCCAGGAAAGGUUAUGUCCACUCUAUAAAGGGACCGAGGAUCUUGUUUCAAAUACUGGCUGGAUCUUGGGGAAACCACUUUAAAAUGGCAGAUUACCCAUG